RNAcentral lists this ribosomal RNA (226 nucleotides) under uncultured bacterium. RNAcentral describes it as "partial 16S ribosomal RNA". It matches the Rfam family "Bacterial small subunit ribosomal RNA", at positions 524 to 751 of the family's 1533-position model. The record is from RNAcentral.
UACGUAGGGUGCAAGCGUUAAUCGGAAUUACUGGGCGUAAAGCGUGCGCAGGCGGCUAUGCAAGACAGAUGUGAAAUCCCCGGGCUCAACCUGGGAACUGCAUUUGUGACUGCAUAGCUAGAGUACGGUAGAGGGGAUGGAAUUCCGCGUGUAGCAGUGAAAUGCGUAGAUAUGCGGAGGAACACCGAUGGCGAAGCAAUCCCCUGGACCUGUACUGACGCUCAUG